GAUCCUGGCUCAGGAUGAACGCUAGCUACAGGCUUAACACAUGCAAGUCGAGGGGCAGCAGGACGAUAGCUUGCUAUUGUUGCUGGCGACCGGCGCACGGGUGAGUAACGCGUAUCCAACCUUCCCCUUAGUAGGGCAUAGCCCGUAGAAAUGCGGAUUAAUACCCUAUGUUGUUCGAUGCGGACAUCUAAGUUGAACCAAAGGUUUACCGCUAAGGGAUGGGGAUGCGUCUGAUUAGGCAGCAGGCGGGGUAACGGCCCACCUGGCCUACGAUCGGUAGGGGUUCUGAGAGGAAGGUCCCCCACAUUGGAACUGAGACACGGUCCAAACUCCUACGGGAGGCAGCAGUGAGGAAUAUUGGUCAAUGGGCGAGAGCCUGAACCAGCCAAGUAGCGUGCAGGAUGACGGCCCUAUGGGUUGUAAACUGCUUUUAUGCGGGGAUAAAGUGCGGCACGUGUGCCGUUUUGUAGGUACCGCAUGAAUAAGGACCGGCUAAUUCCGUGCCAGCCGCAGC
RNAcentral lists this ribosomal RNA (514 nucleotides) under uncultured bacterium. Its description in RNAcentral is "bacterial SSU rRNA". It matches the Rfam family "Bacterial small subunit ribosomal RNA", at positions 15 to 518 of the family's 1533-position model. The record is from RNAcentral.